AAAGUCCUGUAAUCUUAUGUUCAUGGGCGUUUACACAAUGGAGUUACUGUUCAUCAUGGGGGUACCGUGGACAAGCCCAGGGCUGCCGGCGAGUCAUGCCAUCCUUACACGUUUCUCCUUGUAAGACAUGAACUUAUGAAUUCAACAGGUGAAGAUUUACAACUUGAUAAAUCAGCUUUGUGAGAGCCACCUAAGCUGAAGAUUCCCUUGAGAACAAGUACUGUCCUGCGGUUUCAUGGCCCUUCUUCCAUUUGUGGUUCUUGCGAAGUGGAAUUUAAAUGACAUCUUAUCAAGAUGGAUAAACCCUAGUUUCCCAGUGCUGGAAUAUAGAAAAUGGAUGGACAAGUAAAUCCCACUCAGCACCCAUAGUCCAGGCAUGGGGACCUCAACACACCUGAGCCCCAGACAUCACCUUUCAUUCUGGACCUACCAUGAAAGACUUCUGAAUCCAGGAAGAGAAACUGACUGGGCAACAUGUUAUUCAG
RNAcentral lists this long non-coding RNA (485 nucleotides) under Homo sapiens (human). Its description in RNAcentral is "non-protein coding lnc-CEP170-13:10". Lineage: Eukaryota; Metazoa; Chordata; Mammalia; Primates; Hominidae. The record is from RNAcentral.